This 245-nucleotide ribosomal RNA is filed under the name uncultured bacterium. RNAcentral's name for it is "partial 16S ribosomal RNA". It matches the Rfam family "Bacterial small subunit ribosomal RNA", at positions 524 to 768 of the family's 1533-position model. The record is from RNAcentral.
UACGUAGGGGGCAAGCGUUGUCCGGAAUUAUUGGGCGUAAAGAGCACGCAGGCGGUUUGUCGCGUUCGUCUUGACAGUUCUCAGCUUCACUGGGAAAGAGGGAUGGAAACGGGCAGACUUGAGAGCGAGAGAGGGACACGGAACUCCAGGUGGAGCAGUGAAAUGCGUAGAGAUCUGGAAGAACACCGAUGGCGAAGGCAGUGUCCUGGCUCGUUUCUGACGCUCAGGUGCGAAAGCCAGGGGAG